This 475-nucleotide ribosomal RNA is filed under the name uncultured bacterium. RNAcentral describes it as "bacterial SSU rRNA". It matches the Rfam family "Bacterial small subunit ribosomal RNA", at positions 15 to 507 of the family's 1533-position model. The record is from RNAcentral.
GAUCAUGGCUCAGGACGAACGCUGGCGGCGUGCUUAACACAUGCAAGUCGAACGGUAAGGCCCUUCGGGGUACACGAGUGGCGAACGGGUGAGUAACACGUGGGUGAUCUGCCCUGCACUUCGGGAUAAGCCUGGGAAACUGGGUCUAAUACCGGAUAGGACUCCUGGCUUCAUGGUUGGGGGUGUAAAGCUUUUGCGGUGUGGGAUGGGCCCGCGGCCUAUCAGCUUGUUGGUGGGGUAAUGGCCUACCAAGGCGACGACGGGUAGCCGGCCUGAGAGGGUGACCGGCCACACUGGGACUGAGAUACGGCCCAGACUCCUACGGGAGGCAGCAGUGGGGAAUAUUGCACAAUGGGCGCAAGCCUGAUGCAGCGACGCCGCGUGAGGGAUGACGGCCUUCGGGUUGUAAACCUCUUUCAAUAGGGACGAAGCGCAAGUGACGGUACCUAUAGAAGAAGGACCGGCCAACUACGUG